Molecule: ribosomal RNA, 431 nt
Filed under: uncultured bacterium
Lineage: Bacteria
Description: partial 16S ribosomal RNA
Rfam family: Bacterial small subunit ribosomal RNA
Source: RNAcentral
AGCGAACGCUGGCGGCAGGCCUAACACAUGCAAGUCGAACGGAUCCUUCGGGAUUAGUGGCGGACGGGUGAGUAACACGUGGGAACGUGCCCUUUGGUUCGGAACAACUCAGGGAAACUUGAGCUAAUACCGGAUGUGCCCUUCGGGGGAAAGAUUUAUCGCCAUUGGAGCGGCCCGCGUCUGAUUAGCUAGUUGGUGAGGUAACGGCCCACCAAGGCGACGAUCAGUAGCUGGUCUGAGAGGAUGAUCAGCCACACUGGGACUGAGACACGGCCCAGACUCCUACGGGAGGCAGCAGUGGGGAAUCUUGCGCAAUGGGCGAAAGCCUGACGCGGCCAUGCCGCGUGAAUGAUGAAGGUCUUAGGAUUGUAAAAUUCUUUCAGCGGGGACGAUAAUGACGGUACCCGCAGAAGAAGCUCCGGCUAACUUCG